CACGUAGGGUGCGAGCGUUGUCCGGAAUUAUUGGGCGUAAAGAGCUCGUAGGCGGUGUGUCGCGUCGGCCGUGAAAACCUGCAGCUUAACUGUGGGCUUGCGGUCGAUACGGGCAUCACUGGAGUUCGGCAGGGGAGACUGGAAUUCCUGGUGUAGCGGUGAAAUGCGCAGAUAUCAGGAGGAACCCCGGUGGCGAAGGCGGGUCUCUGGGCCGAUACUGACGCUGAGGAGCGAAAGCGUGGGGAGCGAACAGG
RNAcentral lists this ribosomal RNA (254 nucleotides) under uncultured bacterium. Its description in RNAcentral is "partial 16S ribosomal RNA". It matches the Rfam family "Bacterial small subunit ribosomal RNA", at positions 524 to 776 of the family's 1533-position model. The record is from RNAcentral.